Molecule: long non-coding RNA, 361 nt
Filed under: Brassica napus (rape)
Lineage: Eukaryota; Viridiplantae; Streptophyta; Magnoliopsida; Brassicales; Brassicaceae
Description: long non-coding RNA (BNAP_LNC004185)
Source: RNAcentral
CCCCCAGCUCGUAAGCUUCGAGUUCGAAUCAUGCGGGCGAGUGAUGGUGUUAAUCGGAAUUUGCGGUUAAAACUGCUUUUUCCCGAAAGAUUUCUCCUGAUUAUUUUAAUGCGGAAAAAGUUAUUUCAACUCUUGAUUUCCUAUAAGUAGUGACCUUUCUUCUUCAUUCUUUCCACAUUCUCUCAAUUUUACAAGUCCCCUUUGUGUUUUCUCUCAAAAACUUUUCUCCACCAAGAUGUCUUCUUCCAGCAAUGUCUAGAAGAAUGGUGAUGUCGAGAUGAGCGACGCCGCCGGUGCAAGUCUGUCGGUUCUUCCUGCCGCCGGGGAGGUUCAAAUCGAGGCCCCAACUUCCGAGUCCCUC